GACGAACGCUGGCGGCGUGCUUAACACAUGCAAGUCGAACGGAAAGGCCCUGCUUUUGUGGGGUGCUCGAGUGGCGAACGGGUGAGUAACACGUGAGUAACCUGCCCUUGACUUUGGGAUAACUUCAGGAAACUGGGGCUAAUACCGGAUAGGAGCUCCUGCUGCAGGGUGGGGGUUGGAAAGUUUCGGCGGUUGGGGAUGGACUCGCGGCUUAUCAGCUUGUUGGUGGGGUAGUGGCUUACCAAGGCUUUGACGGGUAGCCGGCCUGAGAGGGUGGCCGGCCACAUUGGGACUGAGAUACGGCCCAGACUCCUACGGGAGGCAGCAGUGGGGAAUAUUGCACAAUGGGCGGAAGCCUGAUGCAGCAACGUCGCGUGCGGGAUGACGGCCUUCGGGUUGUAAACCGCUUUCGCCUGUGACGAAGCGUGAGUGACGGUAAUGGGUAAAGAAGCACCGGCUAACUACGUG
Molecule: ribosomal RNA, 468 nt
Filed under: uncultured bacterium
Lineage: Bacteria
Description: partial 16S ribosomal RNA
Rfam family: Bacterial small subunit ribosomal RNA
Source: RNAcentral